Brassica napus (rape) is the source of this 3854-nucleotide long non-coding RNA. RefSeq lists it as uncharacterized. The transcript has 2 exons. NCBI's taxonomy places the organism in Eukaryota, Viridiplantae, Streptophyta, Magnoliopsida, Brassicales, Brassicaceae. The record is from RefSeq and is a predicted model, not a curated record.
UAGCGCGGUAAAAUCUCUAGUAUAAGAUAAUAACAACUAAUACCUUGUAUUUAUCCAUAUACAUAUUCCCCUUAGACUUAGGAUUCAGUCUCUUGUAUAAGUACAUCAAUAACAAUAACACUUUCCUAUUUCAUGGUAUGAGAGCAGCAACAAUUCUUGACCUAACAGAUUUCGUUUUCCUGCUCACAUAACCGCUUCCACUUACAUAUUUUUCUACUACAAACCCUUGUUCAUCAACGAGCCCUAGUUUCGACAAAUAGUAUACAGUUUCUUCUUUAGAUAUGUUUCUUUCUCAAUAUGUUAGGGUUAUUGUUCUAGGGUUCUUCUUUUAGUGAAUCAUCGACCCUGUUUAUACUUUCAAAUUAUGAUCUUUGCUUGCUUGAAGUUUGCAGACUCCAAUCUAAUCGCCAUGGCUAAGAGUUCCUUCAAGCUUUCUUGUCCUCUCGGUUAGUCUCUCAUAUCUUCUUUUCUUCUUUUAGCUGCAUAUUCGUAGCUGACUCCCUCUUUUAAUUAGAGAAAAAAAGUUUUUUAGUUUUUGAUUCUGAUCAUAAGUCUUGGCAAAACUUGUUUCGUGUUUUUGAUUCUAAUAUUGCUUCUUAUCAACCGCAAAAGCUGCGCUUACGGGUGGUAACGGUUGUGGAUGUUUUGCAACACUCACUCAAACCGUCCAAACUGUUUCAAACCGUUCCAAACUGUUUCAAACAGCUCUAAACCUAUGAAAUUUAAAAGUUAAAUUUGGCAAAACUUGUUUCGUGUUUUCGAUUCUAAUAUUGCUUCUUAUCAACCGCAAAAGCUGCGCUUACGGGUGAUAACGGUUGUGGAUGUUUUGCAACACUCACUCAAACCGUCCAAACUGUUUCAAACCGUUCCAAACUGUUUCAAACAGCUCUAAACCUAUGAAAGUUAAAAGUUGGUUGUAGCUAUUGUUUGCUUGAGGAGGGCAAAUUUUUUAAAAAAAUUAAUAGUAUAAUUUGAUUAAUAUAAUUUGAUAUUUAUUAUAAUAAUAUAAUAUUAUUUUUAAUAAAUAUAUAAAUAUUAUUAAUUUAUUAUUAAAUCACUUCUACAUUUGGUAGUUAACCAGUCAUAAUUAUCUCACAAACGCACACAAAUCUCUUAAUAACAUUUAAAAUUGCAAUGUCCGUAUCCAUAAACGCCCGCAACCCACCCGCAACCGCUGCAGUUACACCAGUCAGUCAGGCCCUAAAGCAAGACUAAAUAGUCUCUUAACCCUUUUAGAUUACAUAAUCUUUACCAAAUGGUAGCUUUGUUCUUAUGUUUGUUUGAUGCUUUGCUUUGUGACUAUAAUCCUUUUUUUGUUUGUUGCACAGAAGCAAGGAUGGGUGAAGCUACUCGAAUGAGAGAGAAGUACCCUGACCGAAUCCCUGUACGCAUUAUAUUUUUUCUUUUAUCUAAAUUUAGUUUAUCAUUAAUGUGUUUUAAUUUAGAAACUGAAACUUGUAGGUGAUUAUGGAAAAGGGUGGACAAAGUGAUCUUCCGGACAUUGACAAGAAUAUAUAAUAAUAAAACAGACUUUUCUCUCACCUUAGCCCUCCACGUCCUUUUUUAGAGGUGGGCGUUUUACGCCACGUGGCAUCUAAACCUUCGACUCCUAAAAUUUUCGUCUCUCGGUGAAUGGGUUUUUAUUUUAAUUUGGUCUUUAUAAGUAUCAGAUGCAUGGGCCCGUGUUUGACUAAGUUUUUAUGAUCCUCGACUGAGACGCCCUAAUCCUUUCGCUUCCCUUCCAUCCGAUGAAAACUCUGGGUAACAGAUUCGUUUUUUAAGUCCACCAUUAAAAUGAGCAUUUAACACCAUCAUACCUCUCCUCCCACUCCGCCUCAUUUAUUUAUUCUAAUUGGCGACGAAGGUAAGCGAUGCAUGUCUGAGUUUGGUACGACUUCAGACUAUAAAUGUCUCCGUUAGAUGCCAUGAACAGCUCCACCGCUAAGAUUUCUCAAAGAUUAUACUCUGCCAAGCAUCACCGCCCACUAUGUCGACUUCCUACGUUCUUCUCGCAAAUCUGAAAGCAGGCCGUUGCUCAAACACCUCCGAGGUCAGUUCUUGACGUUCUAUAGAAGAAGAAAUUUCGUGAUGACUUGAAGAGCGUGAGAGGAGAAACUUUUCUUCCAAAGAAAAAUCUCACUGUGAUGAGUGAGACGAUAAAUUUCAAGCCUUUUUCAAUAUGAUUUUGUAAAGAUUCUUCCUUCGUUUCACUAAUGUGUUUUUUUUUGUCAUUAGUUGAAAGCUACUACAGGAGAGGGAAUCAGCUAUUACUCGAAGGUUAGAGAAAUUAAAAUUUUUCUUUGAUUAUAUGUCACAGGAUACAUGUAGUUUGAUUAUAUGUUUUCUAAAUUCUAACUUUGAUAUCCUGCUUUUAGGCUCUAAAAGGGACUCUGAAGAUGAUUCUGAUGAUGAUAGGUACCUAUUUUCCAUUCUUUCCUUCCUAUUGCAGUUCAUCUUUUGUGCUUUAAACUUCUAAAGAUUCUUUGCUUGAGAUUUAAUGCUUUUCCUCAGAGCCCUGGUUUGGGAAUAUGCAAUUGCUUCAGUGUUCUCCUUUUUGAGAGUUUUUGAUGACUUAUAUCAACUGAGACUCGCAAUUUCCUUUGAGUUAUCUUACGAUCUGGUUGUCUUUCUUAGAUAUAAAGAAAGUGACGAUGAUGAGGAUGAGACUGGAUCUCUUAUGGCUGAACUAGACCAGAUAAAUAAAUAAAGAGGCUCAGGAAGGAAAAGCAGCAGCAAAUGAAGAGCUAAACGCCAAAGAAGAGGAACUUCCCAAAAGAAACCCACUGCUUGACAACACUCCAACUCUGUUUAGUGUCAAAAGAAGGCUAGCAUCUUUUGAAGUCUUGUUUCUUCAUGAGUCUCUGAAUUAUAUGAAUUUUUGGAGGCACAUAUUAAUCUUUUAAGUUUCCUCUUUUUUCAGGUGUGAUGAUGAUGUGGUAUCGAGAAUUUGGGACGUGGGGAAAAUGAAAUUAAGCACCUGAGCGCUUCAUCAGUAAUACAAUCAAGAAUUACUUCCACAAAAAGUUCCACUUUUGCAUUAACGAAUGACUCAAUGUGUUAAAAAUUAAUUGAAUCAAACUGUUCUCUGUUUUUGAGUGCAGGAGGUCCUUGAGAUACAAGGCAAACGAGGAAAGUAGGCUUUUUUAAUUAUAUGGUCUACCACCAGAAGCAAUCAAUCUGAUUGGACCGUAAGAAUCUUCAACCACAGAAGGUAAUGGUUUUUUUCAAAUACAUAUACUAACCAGCUAUAGCUUUACAUCAAUAAAUUCAGGACAGUGAUCGAAAUGUUGUCCCAGUUCAUACACAUGCAUUUGGUUUCUUUAAUCGGGCAUUGCAGUGACUCAGUGAGAACAAUAAGAGGACCAUUGUGCAUGACUUGGAUCACCCAAGGUUGAGCUGGAGACAGAAGCUUGAGAUAUGUCUUGGUGCAGCUAGAGGCCUGCACUAUAUCCAUACAGAUUCCACAAGAGGUAUCAUCCACCGCGAUAUGAAGUAUGAUAACAUUCUCUUCGAUGAGAAUUUCAUGGACAAAGUUUCAGAAUUUGGAUUGUUUAAGACGUCCAGAUCUUGACCAGACACGUGUGAGUACGACGGUAUAGGAAGAUUCAUUUUCUUGAUCCAGACCAGUACAAGAUAACAAUUGACUGGGAAGUCUGAUGUUUACUCUUUUGGGUAAUGCUUGAAGUACUUGAGGGAGACCAGAUCCAUCUAUUCCAAAAGAAGAGUCUUUAAGUUACUGUAGUAUUGUUAGUUCAUGAGGGAGGAAAGCCCGCAUUUCUUUUUUAUACCCAUUGCAUACAGAUUAUUGUUAUACUUUCUAGAUAUUUAUUUUCAAAUAGUCUCUUUUGUGUGUU